CUUCGGCGCUCAGUCGCUUUUUACUUGGUUUGAAUGGAGUCAUAACUAAGAGAAAAGAACUCAAAGGCAAUUUUAACAGCACAGUUUCUUCUGAUCUUUGUUUGGAAUAGGUUCUAAGGUGUCAAGCUUAGAGACAGCACUACGAAAGUUUUUCGUGAUUGUUUAAAAAGGCUUUUUGAUCUCAUUAAAAAUGCCCUCCGCUGUAAUUAAGCACGAUCUGGACCUUGAGCCCGAAUUGCCAGAAGAAUUUAAAUACAUCGCUGAAGGACAGGGUGAAUGUGAAAAUAAAAAGCUUCAGUUAAUUGAUGAUUUUCGAAAUUUUAUACUGGAACAUGACGGUUGUACGCCACAUCGAACAGAUGACGAAUAUUUGCAAAAAUUUCUUCGUGCCCGCUUUUGGAACAUAAAGGACAGUUAUGAUUUGAUGGUUAAUUACUACAAAUUUCGAAACCAGAAUAAAAGUUACUACGAAAAAGUUCGACCACUGGAACUAAAGAUUUUGGGUGAUGAGGAUAUUAUAUCAGUAACGCCAUACAGAGAUCAAAAUGGACAUCGUAUUUUAAUUUAUCGUUUUGGGGCUUGGAAACCAGCAAAAAUCAGCGUUGAUGAUAUAUUUCGAGCCACUAUCAUCCUACUUGAAUUGGGCUCUUUGGAACCGAUUGCCCAAGUGAUGGGUGGAGUAGGCAUAUUCGACUUAAAGGGCCUAACUUUAAAUCAUAUUUUUCACUUAAAUCCAAAUGUAGCACAGAAAAUGAUUGCUUUACUAGUGACUUCGAUGCCCGUGAGAACUGCGGCAUUACAUAUUGUAAAUCAAAAUUGGGCCUUUAAUGCCGCCUACAACAUUUUUAAGCCGUUUUUAAAUGCCGCAAUGAAAGAACGAUUGUUUAUUCACGGCUCAGACAUGACGUCUCUUCAUAAACACAUAAGUCCAGAUCGCUUGCCGAAAAGGUAUGGCGGUGUACAAGACGAUUAUCCUUAUCAGCUAUGGAUAGAUAGUUUGAUUGGAAACGAGAAAAUACACAAGGAGCUGGGACAGUUGGGAUAUAUAUUUUGAAAUUACGAAGAAUAAACUUAAAUAACUCAAUAUAUCAAUUGUAUUCUAUGGAGUAAUCACCAUCCAGGCCAUAAAACAUGUUAGAAUUAUAAUACUAAGGAUAAUGUCAGCUCUAAGUAAUAUAUAUAAAUUAGUGUCGAAAACUUCCACUAAAA
RNAcentral lists this unclassified non-coding RNA (1209 nucleotides) under Ceratitis capitata (Mediterranean fruit fly). Its description in RNAcentral is "alpha-tocopherol transfer protein, transcript variant X1". Lineage: Eukaryota; Metazoa; Arthropoda; Insecta; Diptera; Tephritidae. The record is from RNAcentral.